This 481-nucleotide ribosomal RNA is filed under the name uncultured bacterium. RNAcentral describes it as "partial 16S ribosomal RNA". It matches the Rfam family "Bacterial small subunit ribosomal RNA", at positions 28 to 507 of the family's 1533-position model. The record is from RNAcentral.
GAUGAACGCUGGCGGCGUGCUUAACACAUGCAAGUCGAACGAAGCACUUUAUUUGAUUUCCUUCGGGACUGAUUAUUUUGUGACUGAGUGGCGGACGGGUGAGUAACGCGUGGGUAACCUGCCUUGUACAGGGGGAUAACAGUUGGAAACGGCUGCUAAUACCGCAUAAGCGCACGGCAUCGCAUGAUGCAGUGUGAAAAACUCCGGUGGUAUAAGAUGGACCCGAGUUGGAUUAGCUAGUUGGUGAGGUAACGGCCCACCAAGGCGACGAUCCAUAGACGGACUGAGAGGGUGACCGGCCAAAUUGGGAAUGAGGCACGGCCCAGACUCAUACGGGAGGCAGCAGUGGGGAAUAUUGAGCAAUGGGAGAAAGCCUGAAGCAGCCAUGCCGAGUGAAUGAAGAAGGUUUUAGGAUUGUAAAAUUCUAUCAACGGGGAAGAUAAUGACGGUACCCGGAUAAGAAGCACCGGAUAACUUCGUG